RNAcentral lists this long non-coding RNA (7993 nucleotides) under Homo sapiens (human). RNAcentral describes it as "PREDICTED lncRNA (TCONS_00124344)". The record is from RNAcentral. Lineage: Eukaryota; Metazoa; Chordata; Mammalia; Primates; Hominidae.
GGGCUGCCCAGGGCUGCGCCAGCUUCAGAAUCCUGCUGCCAUCUAGGGAUGAGAUGAAGCGUCUUCCCGCGUACAGCCGCCCUGAUGGAUCGCUGGGGCCUCGGGCGGGGUGCACCGCUGUCCUUUCGCCGCCGUCCGGGCGGCACUGCACGUGCAGCGCGCGGUCCCCCACCCAGCGCAGCCCGCAACACCCCUGGUCUGCCGCAGGAGACCCUGCCGAUGCCACUCAGGGUCAAGACUCUGGCGCGGUGGAAACUGCAGAGCAAAAGGAAACACAGACAAAAACAGUGAGAAGGAGAGAGAGCAUGUGGGGCUUUGCCAGAGAGGAACUUGGAUGGCAAUCACCUAAGAACUCCAAACUCAGUGCCAGGGCAGACUGGUGUCUAUUUUGGGAUGGCUCAAGUACUCAAAAGGCAGCACUAAAAUAAGGCUAUGUCUCUUCCUGAGAAUACUCUGGACUUCAUUCUCUGAUUAAAGAUCACAACUGCUUCUUCGUUGAGGAAAUCAUGUAUUUCAAAGCCACCAAUGAACAAGAAUGACAAUCCAUGAAUUACACAGUAAACAAAUACUAUAUGUAUGAGACCGAUUCACUGUCACAAACCUGGAGAAGAAAACCCUUUUGAGGUUUAAAGCUGAGAGGGAGAUAAAAACUUGGUUGUACUACUUCUGGGAAAUGCUGAAGUUAUCCACGUGAUUUUCCAGUCACUGAUUAUUUUAGCAAAGUAACACAAACAGAGGAGGAGCUCUGGACUCUAGCUUCUCAUUUCUAAAAGAACAGAUGUAAUGGGAUGUAUUGGUCCAGCACUGAUAACAGGUUAUCCUACAAUCAAGUAUACUCUUUCCAGAAAGCUGAGUUAGGUAUGCAACUGCCUUUCUAAGCCAUGACUACAUUGCUAAAUGAAUCAUUGAUUUGGAAAAUCUGAAGUGACCUUCAGCUUGUUCUCCAGCUCUUCCUCAACAGAAAAGAGAGGCAAAAUCAGCAAAAUAUUGGAAAGAGGUAGUUUUUCUAAAGGUAUUUGUGGCAGGUAGAAGAUUGGAGGCCACUCAGCUAUGUGUGUAAGUGUGUGCAGGGAGAAAUUAGGUUCUAUAUUCAGAAGUGACAUUCUUUGUAUUUUCAGUGUGGCUCUAAAAACAGAGCCUUUUUCUUAUAGUUCAGAGUCAGACACUGCCCUUGGCUUCUCAGCCAUUCUAGUAAACUAUUUGUUACUCAGAAAGCCUCAAAUUCUUCAUUGAAUUUAUUUGGACCAGUUUUUGUGCACUUACCUCGUUGGCAUGGUAAUAGUCUUUUGAAUAACCAAUACUGUGAACAAUUAUACAAUUAAAAAUUCUACUUCCAUUAUUAUUCUUAACUUCUCCCUUUAUAUUUUGUUACAGUUAUGAGGUAUGUUUUAUUAACUAUUCUAGACAUAGAUCUAGCCCUGCAUUUACUCAGCACUGCCUUGCUCCUUUUCAUGAGGGGUGAUCUAGUUAGACAUAUCAAUAUUCAAUGAAAUGUAUAGAUUACCCUGAUAAAAUGGCUCAAUGAAGUUCAUGUAAGGUCAAUGGAAGAUUGAGGCAUCAUAUGCACUGAGCCACUAAUUGGUCUCAUACUAGUAGGAUAUAGCUAUCCCCACCCCCUAUAUCUUGAGUCUCCUUCCUCUUAGGUGCUGAGCAUUUCCAAAGGCUUCUCUAGCUGAAGCAGGUAUAAGAAAAUGAAGUGACAUAAAGCAUCAACCCUUAGGUAUAAAUGAUUGGCAAGUCUCAACCUUGCUAAAACUGAGACUUUUCAAUUAGCUAUGCUUAAAAGUUUCUACUGAAUUACUGAAGCCAUAAUUAUGUAUGUAAUUCAAGUUUCCUUUGAGCUGACCUACAAUGAAAGAAGUUACCUAAAUGACCUCUUAGGUCCUUUUCUCUCUCCAGCAAUCAUGGAUACUUUACGAAUCUCAUAAGGAGUACAGCUCAUUUAUUAUUAACACCAUUUUAGAAUGAAGGAAGAAGAGGCUUAGAAAGGUUUAGUAGCAGAGAAGAGAGCAGCCUUCUGAUUUGUGGGUUCCACAUUCUGGAUGCAGAAAACUUUCAGUCAUUCUUAUCUAUUGUGAGGCUUGUACCAGUUUCUCCAUAAACUUACAAAACCAAACCAUUUUGACAAGCUUUGUUCCUGCCUCUGACUUCUUUCAGAUAGUGGCUAACCAUCUUCUCUUGAUGAGUCAUUUUUGCUCUUCCUCAUUCCCUUCUUGAUGUUCAAGUAGGUGAACGUGAUGACUAUAAAAGGCAAGCAAUUAAUAUCUGGGGUUAGGCAGAGCUCUGUAAGCCAAUCUCCAAGAAUGUGCAAGCUCCUUUGUCCUUAACUGUAACCUUGGCACAUGAAAAGCAACUUCCAUUCCGUUUUACCAACAUUUCGGUCAAAGAUCAAUUGCCAUUGUAAUUAUAUCAUAUAUCACAGGAUGGGGAAUCAGUGAGAGGGCAGGCCCUUUAAACUAAUACAUAUCAUUAGCAUUUAAAGAACAUGAAAAACAAAUUGAACAUUAGUCCUCAUGUAAGUCUUUUUUCUAGAGCAAAUAAUUUUCCAAAUUAAAAUGAAUAAAUUAAUGAAAUUGUCACAUGUCUGAGAAUAAACUAGGUUGGUAAUGCCGUCAAGCUCUUAGCAAAGUUUAGCUCAUUGUACUUCUCUGUCUGAUCAUUAUAACAUCUAAUCAAGGGGAGCUUAAAUACUUCAAUGAGCUCUCAAAAUAAAUUUGAUCUGAGCAGCUCAGGUCUCAUGGAUUCCUAGGGUUACUGACUGGGUGAAACAUGUUUUUGUUUUAAUCCCUGUCUCAGCUCAAAGAGGAUUAAUGCCCGUAAUUCUGCUAUCCCCAUUUAAUUGAGAAAUGAAAUUUGAAGAGGCACCUCCUGGAACACUCCACUUUGAAAUAUGACCCAUCCACUGUCUAUAUAAUAAAUCUUCCUCUGCUCUCACACACUUAUCCACAUCCUUCCUAUCCCAAAGAAGGAGGAAAGAAAGUUAUUGUGUGUGUGUGUGUGUGUGUGUGUGUGUGUGUGUUUCUGUGCAUCUAAUCCAAAACACACAAUGUUGUUGUUUUAUUUUUCAAUUUUGGAAUUAUCCUAAUAAAGGCAUUCUCUGGGAAGCUCAGACUGCAUCUCAAACCUUUCUCUGACACUAGCAUCCUCAUUGGAACAAAUAGCCCUUUCACUAAAAGCAAUACAGUUAUUGCAUUCAUGUUAUAUGAUGGUAAUUUUCACUUUUGCUUUCAAUACAACAUUAAAAGAAAAAUUGUCUAUAGGAAAGAAAGAGGCAAUAUACUAUAUCCUGGAACUAAUUCUUUGGCAUCUGUAAAAAAGGGGGCCAUAAUUCUGAAUAGAGGCUCCUGUCCUAAAACAGACCCAAUGCUAAGAUCUAAUAGAAAGGGCACAGAGAAGCAUAAGGAAACUUAAUGUCACUUUCACGUUUUUUGUACAAGUUGAUGUGAGGAUCUAAAGAGGCAAUUUCUGUAAAAUGCCUAGUAGAGGACCAGGCAUAUAGUAAGCCCUCAGCAAAUGCUGGCUGUUAUCAUUAUGUUUUAUAAAGAAUUUUUACAUCUUCCUCCUAAGCCCUGAGGCUUCAUAACGAAGCCUUAUAUAUGACUCUCAAUGGCUCAAUGUCUUUCCUAACCUAAUGUAGAAAGUGACAUACCAUUGCUUCCAACAUAACCUAUUGGUCACAUGGACCAACAUAAGACCAAUGUGGGAUGACCCUGUACAUAAGGGUAAGAAGCAGGCAUCACUUGGGGCCAUCUCAAAGGAAGGUGACCACAACUGCCUAAUGGCAGUUGAAUCCUUUAUCAAGCUACCCUCAGUAACACUUCAGCUUUCAAGGACCAGGUUUUUGUGACUAUUGUGAACAGGAUUUUAGUGAAUGAAGAUAUAUCCCAAAAUAACAUUUCACUUAAAAGUUGAAUAUCUGUUAUCAAUUUACAAAUGCUUUUAUGUUAUAUCUCACUUGAGCUUCAAAAUAACCUUUUAAGACAGACAAGAGUAGAAACUACUCCAGUGAUUUCAUAGAUAAGGAAACUGAAGAUCAGAGAGACUUAAUGAUUAACCUAAGAUUUAAACUAGAUAUCCUCCUAGCAUUCUCAUGGCACUUAUUCUGCUAGCGUAGGCUGCCUUGUAUAUUUUUUAAAUGACUAUCUGUUUAUGUGCUGGUCAUGGGGUUUGCAGCAAAUCACAAGUGUGUAAUUUUUUUUUCUUAAAGGCAUUUAAUCUACUUUCUAAAAAUCACUAGAAUUCAGAAACUGAUACUACUUCUUUUGUUUCAUUAUUUGCCUCCCUGCCCCCAACACUCAUACAUAUUUAGAGACACCCAUGGACACUCAUGAACACACAUAUUCUUCUUUCUAGUCCCUUAUCAAUGGCAAACUAAAGUUAUUUUAGAAUAUACUAGCUGUCAUUGUGCCACAGAGAAACCUCUCUUUCAUGCAAAUUGAUAUAUGUAUAUAAUCAUACAUGUUUAUAUAUAAACUUUGUAGCUUUCCUCCCUCUUUUCUAAAAUAAAUUAUGAAAGGUUGUAUGUUCAGGCUUCACGCAGAAUUUUUCAUUUGAGGGAGACUUUUUCAACCCUUUCUAUUUGAGUUGGUAGCCAUUUAUAUGAAGAGAAAAUGAAUACUAAUGGAAAAUCCUAGAGUGGAUUUGGAAAAUCAUUAUAACAGUUCUGCUAUAGGUUUGGGCCUUUGACAAACCACCUAUUCAAGGAUGAAAAAUCCACUAUUUCUCUUCUGCAUUUCUUUUUCCGAAUACAGCUAGAUUGAAUAACAGGCCAGAUAAAGGAUUCAGAACAAUUGCUUUACUAAGUAAUAGUGAGCCCAUGUUCUAACCAAUGGGACAGAAACUGACCCUCUGUAUCUCUGACACAGUUGCCUUUCAUUGACAGAUUUACAGUGGAGGGGUUGGGAGAGCAGAUGAAUUAAAAAAAAACAAAAGCAAAUCAAGAUCCCCCAUAAAUUUCACGAUCCCCACAUCUUCCACCUCAGCACCUAUUAGAACACCUUACUCUUAAAUUCUGCACAUGUGGAGAUUUAUUUGUAUCCCAGAGGUUUGCUCAGAUGUUUCCUCUGUGCUUUCAAUGCAGGCCCACCCUUUUCUUUCUUCAUAUUAAAACCAUAUAGAUUCUCCUUGAAGCCUUCUCAACUGGUAAUAAUCAUUUACAUCCUUGCUAGUGCUUAUGAUUUUCGAAUUACUUUUAGAUAAUCUAACUCAGCGAUCUCCACACAACCUUAGACACUUAGCCCGGCAAGUAUUGUGCUUUUGCUUUCAUGGAUGAGAAAAAGGAGACUUGGAGUGCUUUGAUUAGCAAACAAGGUUACAGAGCUAAAAAAGGAGUGACACUGGAGUAGAUCCCAGCUUAAAUGAAACCCACUGCUUUACCUGCCCCUAUAGCCUGCAUGAUAUUUCCCUAUUCUGAGUGCUUGGAGCUCUUGGAGUCUCUUACAUCUAAUGUGAUCAUUAAGAGGUACUAACUGUCUGAUUGCUUCUUGUGUGCAGCUAACUCACUGGUGACCCAGCACUUUGGGAGGAUGAGGAGGGUGGAUCACAAGGUCAGGAGUUCGAGACCAGCCUGGCCAACAUGAUGAAACCCCGUCUCUACUAAAAAUACAAAAAUUAGCCAGGCGUGGUGGCAUGCACCUGUAUUCCCAGCUACUUGGGACACUGAGGCAGGAGACUUGCUUGAACCCGGGAGGCAGAGGUUGCAGUGAGCCAAGAUCGUGCCACUGCACUCCAGCCUGGGCGACAGAGUGAGACUCCAUCUCAAAAAUAAGUAAAUGAAUAAAUAAAAAUAAAAUAGAUUGAGCCUCCACAUUUUGCAUGCAGCUUUCUUGGUGCUUGUCCUUCUCCUGUGCUUACUCAAAGAUGGGACAUUGUGCACAAUGAGAAGAGUAUUGGGACCAGUAAGGAAGAAUGAGUCAGAUAUUGUGGGACCUCUUUUUUUGUUGUUUUUUUUUGCUCCCAGAAAUCUUUGAGGUAAGUAACAUAGUCAAUUGAGGUCUGGAGUUAUGUACUCCAUUUAUUCAUUUUUUCUUAACAUAGUCCCUCCUUACUAUGUGAUAUUCUCUGUCCUAGACCUUGAAAAUACAAGUUAAAUAUGGCAUAUUCUUUACCUCUAUGAGCUUAAAAUUGAGUGGGGAAAGUUUCAUUUUUUCUUUGAAAUGAAAACAAACUUAAGUACCGAUAUGCAUGAGAAAAAUAAAUUGUUCAUUUCUUUACCUACAUCUCAUCAGGAGUAAACACAUUCUCUCUCUGGCUAAGCCAAAUAUACCAUAAAUCCCUCCUAAAAAAAUACCCUGAAAUUGAGAAUCCAAUUUUAAUGGCUAAAUUAUAUUUACCUUGAACUGAGCAUUUUCUAUUAGGAUUUACGUAUGCAUCUUGGGGAUUCUGAAUGUUGGACUUUUUUUUCUUUUUUCUUUUAGAUUUUAACCUGAAUGGAAAAGACAAUAUGAGGGUGAUGAAAGACUCUAGAUGGUCCGUCUUGGUCUUUGAAAGAUGCUGGAAUAUAUGCCUGCUUGGCCAAUUAGUCCCCAAUAACUCUUCAGUGCCAUAGUACUGUGUGUAGAGAAAACCUCAAUGAAAAGAAAAUGGACAAUCAAGCUGGAUAAAAUACAUCCCUUAAAUGAGAACUACGCUAUGUGAAAAAAAAAUAGAAGAACAAGUCCUCAGCAAGUCAAUGAUCAUAAGAAAAACAGUUAUAUUGACUAGUUAUUUUGUGUGUUUGAUGUACAAUAUGGAGAAAUAUUAGUAGCCAAAUGAAUGUGACACAUUGACACAGAUGCAUUGUAAAUAUUAUGCUAUUGAGACCAUAGAUUCAGUUACAUUCCUCUGAUGAAUGUGGAUGCUUUCAUUUCCUGUUUUAGAAGGCAACUAACCUGAUUAAUAUCAAACUGCAAGCUCUGCCUUGUUUGCAGUAGGUGACUGCUCAAAUUGUAGUUAUUUUAGCCUCAGCUCUGAGAUAAUUUGUUUCUGUCCUGUUUUUCCCCCAACAAGUAUGGUUCAAGGUUCACAUACAGACUUGGCCAGAGUUCAUAUGCAGACUUUUAACUGCCUUCUUCCCAGGAUUUCCUCUCCAUUUUUGGGGUGGGUGGGCAGUGGGGUGCUGUGGUUGCACUGGGUCCUGUCAUCUGGUUCUUACCAACACAAAAUAUGAAGGUUUUUAAAGGAGUUUCAGUUAUUCUAAUUAUCCUGUACCUUAAGUUGUCUUUCUAAUACCUAGUGCUGGUUUCUUCUAAAUGUCAAAUCUCUUACAAAAACUGUUCUGUCUCAGGAAUUGUGUGUGUGUGAUUGUGCAUAUUCAGACUUUAUAGUUGUUACCUGCAUGACUGUCAGUCUAGUAGGAAUUCAUUCCAGCCUACUAGAAGAAAAAGUUUAUAUAUCAAUUUUGCAGAAAAAUAAUCCAAAUUGUAUAGGAUAUUACUCAAAAAGAAAACUUCGGAAAAGUUGUUUAAAUUUAUAAUCUUUUAGUUUUAAGCAAAUAUUUGUUAAACAUGCUUACUUCUCAGUUAGUGGAACAGAAGAAAAAAAAUGUAAUGUCAUCCCUGAACUCAGACACACAACACUUAAGAAAUUACAUUCAAAACAUAGGUGCUUUAACUUGAUAAGUACUUUAAAUGCAAUGCUAUAUCCAUUGUUUUCAAUGAACAUAGCAACAUUUUACAUGCACAAUAUAAUAAUGUGGUAAUUGCCAGAAAUAGUCCCUUUUUGCAAAUAUUUAAUGUAAUUCUACAGGAAAAAAUUUUAAGGCAGUAAAAUAAAAUGUAUUUCACGAUCUGCAAUGAUGUGUACCUUACUUUAGCCUUUUACUGCAACUAACUUCAGCAAAUAAAAUUUGGUGAAUAAUCUGUAUUUUCUUCUUUUCUUUCUUUUUUUUUUCUUGUAAGCCUCUCUCCCUUCCUGUCUCCAUUCUUUCCUACAAGGAAUAUUGGGUAUUUAUUAUGUGCACGGCACAUUCUAAAGCAGUGAAGAUGAGACAGUAAAUAUUCCAGGGACAGUAUCA